RNAcentral lists this long non-coding RNA (939 nucleotides) under Anser brachyrhynchus (Pink-footed goose). Its description in RNAcentral is "lncRNA (ENSABRG00000014001.1)". The record is from RNAcentral. Lineage: Eukaryota; Metazoa; Chordata; Aves; Anseriformes; Anatidae.
CCAAGGCAAAGCUACCAGCAGACAAUGAGUCAUUACAUCAUUAAAAAAGCAGUUUUAGCCAUCAGUCUAAUGAGCAGUGAAAGGACAUCUGGCCUGCCUCUAACAGGUGAUUUUGAGUUAUCCGAGUAAGAAAUUCUUUUUUCUCUCUGCAGCUGGUGAGGCAUGUUAGCAGGGAUCAGAAAAAUCUAUGCUCGAGAAAGAAAGGCAUCUCUGCAGCAGGAAUGACAAGAAGAAAAACGAAUAAAAAAUAGCAUUUUUUCCCCUCAAAUGACUACACAAUGUGACCAUCCAUAUGAAGGAAGCACGUGCACUCAACAUCUGCAGGGGCUUCACUUUUUUCGGCACAGUCCUGCUGGGAAAUUGAAAAUAUCAACUCUCAGGAUUCACAGCAUGUAAAUACGUAAUAUUUGAGUAUUUAGGACUCUCUUCAGACCCAUUGAAAUCCAGGGAGCAUUUUGUAGCAUUUUAAGAGGCUGAAUUUCAGGUCCUUCCACAAUUACGUCAAAUCCUUUUCAGAAUUUUCUUUGCAAAUCACUGAGGAAUAUCAUUCAUUAUGUCUCGGACAGCUAUGGCAAACAGCCCUGUGAUCAGGAAGCCUAGCAACUCCUAAUUCUUUAAGAAAAAAAAAGUCAGUUCUCGUUACACAUAUGAAAACACCUAGAAAAAUACCCAAACCGAAUGCGUGGCUGAAAAGAUUUCAGAUCUCACAUCAGCCUUUUCAGGUAUUUUAAAGCAUCUCAGCCCUCUUGAAUUGACAGCCUUCAAUAAUUCACGUAUUGCUGUAGUGUGCAUUAGACAUCACAUGUAGCCGUGAGGAGAAAAUGGAAAAUACGGAAACAAAGCCAAGAGAAGUACAUUGCAAUGUACAGCAAGGACUCAAGUUUUGUUUUUUUUGUUUUUUUCAAUAAAAGAACAGAUAAAUAUUUCUGAUAUAUAUGC